GAUAAGGUGGCUGAAUAAUAGGCUGUAAAUUGUAAAUUUACAUAUGGUGGUUAAACCUCUUAUCA
RNAcentral lists this transfer RNA (65 nucleotides) under Metatropis longirostris. RNAcentral describes it as "tRNA-Tyr". Lineage: Eukaryota; Metazoa; Arthropoda; Insecta; Hemiptera; Berytidae. The record is from RNAcentral.